Non-coding RNA from Pelodiscus sinensis (Chinese soft-shelled turtle), 211 nucleotides. NCBI's taxonomy places the organism in Eukaryota, Metazoa, Chordata, Testudines, Trionychidae. The record is from RefSeq and is a predicted model, not a curated record.
GGAAGCAGGACCCACACUGAAACCCCUCUUCUCUCAGAUGAGGAGGGGUACGAGCACCCAGACAGCGAGGAAGAAGCAGCACCCGAGGAUGGUGACAACUAUGAAAACACGGACAGGGACGUGACACUGUGCAUGGGAGACAAGGGGUCCAGCGAGGGUGCCUGCUACGAGAACAGCCUGGAGAACAGAAUGGGGGGCAGCUGGGCUUCAG